Molecule: RNase P RNA, 220 nt
Filed under: Lachnoanaerobaculum sp. MSX33
Lineage: Bacteria; Bacillati; Bacillota; Clostridia; Lachnospirales; Lachnospiraceae
Description: Bacterial RNase P class A
Rfam family: Bacterial RNase P class A
About the family: Ribonuclease P (RNase P) is a ubiquitous endoribonuclease, found in archaea, bacteria and eukarya as well as chloroplasts and mitochondria. Its best characterised activity is the generation of mature 5'-ends of tRNAs by cleaving the 5'-leader elements of precursor-tRNAs. Cellular RNase Ps are ribonucleoproteins.
Source: RNAcentral
GAGGAAAGUCCGGGCUUUAUAGGGCAGGAUGCCGGAUAACAUCCGGUGGAGGCGACUCCAAGGAAAGUGCAACAGAAAACAACCGCCGAAAGGUAAGGGUGAAAAGGUGGUGUAAGAGACUACCGCUCAUAUGGUAACAUAUGGGGACAGUGUAAACCCCAUCCAAAGCAAGACCGAAGCGAAUAGGGCUGCCCGUCCGAUAUUCAGGUAGGUCGCUAGA